GCAGUUUAUCCAGAGCUCUUGUUAGUCUCUGUAUUGCAAGAGUGGCUUUCUCCUUGGCACUGACAGAUUUUGUUCUAUUUUUUGUAGCCUAUUUAAGUAGAUGAUUGAAUGAGCAACACAACUGGAGUUUUAAUUGCCUUGCAGAUAGCAUUCCUUCACAGAUAACAAUUCUCUUUGAUUGGGGAGCAACCACUGAAGCACUUUCUUCAUCAUUGCCUGCAAUCCUGAUGAGCUCUUCAAGUGAUGAGUUUGGACUGUUCUUUGCUGGUUAGGAGAAGAGUCUCUGUUCCAGUGGCCACCCUUGUUAAGAUUUUUAUCACAAAUGCAAGAAGGGAUCAUGGACCCUUGGUUUUGAUGAUGAGAGCAAGGAGCAGCGAUCCAGCACCUGUCUGGAUAAUGCAGAUACUUUGUAUGUCAAACUAAAUAAUGAUGCCUCAUCAACUAAAAGGUGAACCCAAAUGCAAUUUUCAUCCUCGUGCAGGUAAGCCUUUUUCAAAUUUGGCCGGCUGCUAAAUUACUUUUUAAUCUUUACUUUCAAAAAUACAGAAUCUAUAGCCUGCGUUAGUCGGAGAACUGUUUUUAGGUGUCCUCGAGGUACAAGCAAGAAGCGGUUUGGUCGCUCCUGCACUUCCACUGUGGGUCACAAGAUGGGCAAUCACAGCUACCAGAUCCAUGAGGAGGGAUAUGGAAGUAUUUUUCAAAACCGAAGCAUUCUACAGAUGACACAUUUCUUUUUAAGCAGGAAAUAGUGAGUGAUGGUGUUCUCCUGGGCCUGUGCUUUGCCAGAUGCACGCUGAUCCGUUGGUGGCCAUUGCUCACUAUACCUGUAAAUGGGAAGUGCCACUGGUUUUGGCUUAAAGCGAACAAUUCCACAGCAUGCCUAGUCAGGCACCAGACAGUUGUUGAGGUGAGAAAUUGUUUUAUCACUUUUUGCCUAACUUAAGUCUUCUAUUUUAAGGAGGAACUCCAGUCCUUCUUGUUGUGGAUUCCCAGUUGUGGAUUAGCAGGCCAUUUUCACUAGCAGUGAUUAUUUCAAAAGCAGAUCAAGGGAUGCUGAAACCGUACAUCUUGAAAUGUAAUAGCACAGAAUCAUUUAGGUUGGAAAGACCCUUAAGAUCAUCAAGUCCAACUGUUAACCCAGCACUGUCAUGUGUAUCCUAGGAAGAGUCUUUGGUCUUGCAAAAUAGUACCAGAUAGUUCUGCUCCCCUUUCUAUUUCUUUAGUACAGAUAUGGAUUGGAGAGUUUGAAUUCUUUUUCUCAUCUAACUGGAUAACAGUGUAAAAAAGGCUGAAAACAAACAUCAGUUCAGAAGAUGAUUCAGAUGUAUAAACCACUCAUUCUGAUAAAUCCAUCGAAUGAAGUUCUUUGGAAAAG
Long non-coding RNA from Neopsephotus bourkii (Bourke's parrot), 1375 nucleotides. RefSeq lists it as uncharacterized. Lineage: Eukaryota; Metazoa; Chordata; Aves; Psittaciformes; Psittacidae. The transcript has 3 exons. The record is from RefSeq and is a predicted model, not a curated record.